This 465-nucleotide ribosomal RNA is filed under the name uncultured bacterium. RNAcentral's name for it is "partial 16S ribosomal RNA". It matches the Rfam family "Bacterial small subunit ribosomal RNA", at positions 338 to 795 of the family's 1533-position model. The record is from RNAcentral.
CCUACGGGAGGCAGCAGUGGGGAAUAUUGCGCAAUGGGCGAAAGCCUGACGCAGCGACGCUGCGUGAGGGAUGAAGGUCUUCGGAUCGUAAACCUCUGUCAGCAGGGAAGAACGGUCACUGUGCUAAUCAGCAGUGACUUGACGGUACCUGCAAAGGAAGCACCGGCUAACUCCGUGCCAGCAGCCGCGGUAAUACGGAGGGUGCGAGCGUUAAUCGGAAUUACUGGGCGUAAAGCGCUCGUAGGCGGUAUGUCAAGUCAAGGGUGAAAUCCCCGCGCUCAACGUGGGAACUGCCUUUGAAACUGGCAAACUGGAGUGUGUGAGAGGAUAGUGGAAUUCCAGGUGUAGGAGUGAAAUCCGUAGAUAUCUGGAGGAACAUCAGUGGCGAAGGCGACUAUCUGGCACAUAACUGACGCUGAGGAGCGAAAGCGUGGGUAGCAAACAGGAUUAGAUACCCUGGUAGUC